GGAGUGCAGGUGGAGUAUCCCAGUGAUGAUCUGGGCCGUGUAGUAGACCACGCGCUCCAUGCAGAUACCCCGCCGUCCCAGCUCGUAGAUGUGGAACCUGAGGUCUCCUCCGUUCAUGAGGUCCAUGACCAGGCACAGGAACCUGUAAAAGAAGGGGCUGCUCAGGUAGUCGGAGAACGGUUUCCCCUUCAGGAAAUCCCUCGUGGCCUCUCUCAUCUGCUCCAUCAUCACGUCAUUAAAAUUCAUAUCUGGCGAAGUCCUGCGCCUGUCGGCAUCCUGUCCCGUAAGGUAGGAAAGGUAACUCUUGGACUGGGGCUGACAGAACUUGUCCAGGAUGCUCCGUUUGACCUUCUCCCUGGUUUCGUCCGCGGCAAAGCUCCAGCUGUUCAGCUCCUCCAGGAACUCCGCGGUGGCAGCACACUGCGGGUCUGAGGCCAGGAGGAACUGUUGGAACAGCUUCCUCCCAAUAGGCUGCUGCUCGCAGAGCGACUCGAACGUGUCGCCCAGCGCCUCCCGCACCGUGGAGGAGUUCUUGGGUACGGGCAGCGUCUGCGAGAGCCUCUGCUUCCUCAGCUCCUCGCGAUCAAUCCCCUGAACCUUCAGGAAGGCUGUGUUGACCACCAGGCUGUCCAGUGGCAGAAGGUCAGCCAUGUUGGAUGUCCCCUUUAGCACACCCACAGGCAGCUGAAACUGAAACACCUAACCCCAUCGUCAGGUUACAGGCACGGCUCAGUCCCGCGGACAUCGUCCACAUCUACUACGCCUCUCUGAGCAAUGAAAGCUCCGUCCUCAGGGAUUUGUCAGUGGCUAAGUGUCUUUGAAAACUCAUUAGUAGACAGCUCUGGGCGAAAGCAACUUAUGUGGUUUGUACUUAAGAGGCUUUAGGCUGGUGUAUUUAUAGGUGAUGCAAAAAGCCUGUGUGGUGACCAUGCUGCCAGUUUGACAGGGUGGCACAUACUGGCCUCAACAGCUUAUGACGGACGACUGCUUGAGAUAAAGUGGCCAGUGAGAGGUUAUGCUGAGCCCAAUGCAAUGGAAUAAACAUUUUAUGGUU
Long non-coding RNA from Betta splendens (Siamese fighting fish), 1054 nucleotides. RefSeq lists it as uncharacterized. The record is from RefSeq and is a predicted model, not a curated record. NCBI's taxonomy places the organism in Eukaryota, Metazoa, Chordata, Actinopteri, Anabantiformes, Osphronemidae. The transcript is spliced from 2 exons.